Molecule: long non-coding RNA, 581 nt
Organism: Oryza brachyantha (malo sina)
Lineage: Eukaryota; Viridiplantae; Streptophyta; Magnoliopsida; Poales; Poaceae
Exons: 2
Source: RefSeq, a predicted model, not a curated record
AAAAUUGACAUUGGAUUGUAGGAGAUGCAAAAAUUGAGAAGGAUGGUGCAAACAAAUGGGCAAAUCACUACAGUACUAAUAGUGUCCAUAGUGUUGGCAGCUACGGUUGCUGCACAUGUGGAGAUUGGUGAAGUAGGUGAGUACUUGCAGAAGCGUGCACAAGAGGCCCGCCUCAAGAACCAUGGAGGACCCCUCCACGAUCUUGUCAACACAGCAACUCGUUACCACCAAGACCUCCUCCACAGGGCUCGAAGGUCUACAUUGGAUGAUGAAGCAUAUAUGCUGAAGGGAUCUACUACUCCUAGAGAUGAAGCCUCAAGUGUUAAAAGUGGAGAUGAUCAUCAAAUAGUACAAGAUCACAAUGGCAUCCAAGUUUGAUUUAUUAUAUAUCUAGCUUUGUUCUCAUUGAGCAAGAAACAGAAAUCCCAUAUACUACAACACAUCGCAUCCAGUGGAUGACAUCCAUGUCUAGUUCGACUGUACUUCAUUAACUAUACUAUAUCUAUGUAUACACAAUGGUACAUACCGUGAUUCAUGAUGAUACAACGAAUGGCCUACGAGUGCUAUAAUCGUUAGUCUAA